Molecule: long non-coding RNA, 352 nt
Filed under: Citrus sinensis (sweet orange)
Lineage: Eukaryota; Viridiplantae; Streptophyta; Magnoliopsida; Sapindales; Rutaceae
Description: long non-coding RNA (CSIN_LNC000315)
Source: RNAcentral
UUGCAACCUGCAGUAUAAUAAUGGGAAUUCCGUUGAACUUAAAGAUGACACCAUUGUCCAUCCAGGUGGGGAUGCCGGAGAAUCAAUUCAUCAGUUGAGCAGUGAGUUUGUGGAAUAUUCAAAUGAAUUUUAUAACAACCCCACCUACCAACAUGAUUUUGGUUCAUGGUCCACCUUCUAUCCUGACUCUCAAAAGGUGCAUCACUGCCAAAUGAAUUCUUUUGAGAGCCAAUUUUAUCCCUUUCCUGUGGAAAAUCGGUUUCAGUUUGCUCCAUACAAUAUGCUCACACCAGCUCACCCAUAUGAUUUCCAGCCUCAAGAAUUUCAGUAUUUUGUGGUAAUAGACUUUGAG